AUUGAACGCUGGCGGAAUGCUUUACACAUGCAAGUCGAACGGCAGCACGGGGCAACCUGGUGGCGAGUGGCGAACGGGUGGGUAAUACAUCGGAACGUGCCCAAUCGUGGGGGAUAACGUAGCGAAAGUUACGCUAAUACCGCAUACGAUCUACGGAUGAAAGCGGGGGAUCGCAAGACCUCGCGCGAGUGGAGCGGCCGAUGUCAGAUUAGGUAGUUGGUGGGGUAAAGGCUCACCAAGCCAACGAUCUGUAGCUGGUCUGAGAGGACGACCAGCCACACUGGAACUGAGACACGGUCCAGACUCCUACGGGAGGCAGCAGUGGGGAAUUUUGGACAAUGGGCGCAAGCCUGAUCCAGCCAUUCCGCGUGCAGGAUGAAGGCCUUCGGGUUGUAAACUGCUUUUGUACGGUAACGAAACGGCGAGCUCUAAUACAGUUUGCUAAUGACGGUACCGUAAGAAUAAGACACCGGCUAACUACCCCGUGCCAGCAGCCGCGGUAAACAUAC
RNAcentral lists this ribosomal RNA (509 nucleotides) under uncultured bacterium. RNAcentral describes it as "bacterial SSU rRNA". It matches the Rfam family "Bacterial small subunit ribosomal RNA", at positions 30 to 526 of the family's 1533-position model. The record is from RNAcentral.